UUUGAUGCGCUGAAAUUGAAUUCAACGCCUCAGAUCUGAAUGAGAUGGGAAAUGGGAUAACAUUUGAAGUGAGAAGAUCCCCUAUUUCAUCACCCAAAACUAAGAUGAUCGGCCAUGAGAAGUGAAUGAAAUCCUCUUAGAAAUGGGAUGACAAUGGCGAACAAUAUGCAGCUAAACAAUAAAGAAAAAAACCCAAUUUGUCGUUACUUUAUCAACCUAACGACGUUAUUUGCUAGAUGGGGGGCCCACCAUAACGGCAAAAAUCCAUCAGUUAAUAAUAACCGUACACAUGAAUAUGAUAUUAAUAUCUGGUACAAGGAAUGGCCCACUAAACCUACUGAUUGACAAAAUGAAGCACAUCAGCCUGAUUGCCUAGGUGCUCCUCCCCAAAGGAGCAAUACUUGGAAAUCAUGAUUCCUGGUCUACUUGUAAGUUCUCCAAGAAGGUGAAAGAUGGAGUUCAAGUCCAACUGGAAUGUCUCGGUGAAGCGCAUGUCGAAUAUGACCACUUGGACUUCCCUCCACUAAAGCUUAGUGUUGUAGGUGGGAGACCGUUUUCUUGUGGAGGCAACCAGUUAUUCAGGAAAAAGCUUUUAACUGCCAGGUAUGGUGUACAUAAUAUGGAAGAAAGUGCCGAACAAAUUUAUAAGGUUGCUUUACGGACUCCAAAGGAGAAUUCCAUGAUACUUCUCUGAUUCUCUUUCAUAACGAACCAAAAGGUCAUGGUUCCAGAAAUGACGACAUAUGCGGCAUAGAUUGGGAGCCUGAAGGUGGAGAUCACGGAGAUCCUAAUUUAGCUCAAGCAAUCUUGCAAUUGAAAGAGACUACCAAUUAUAACAUUCCUUUGGUAGUAUUUGGACACAUGCAUAAAGAGUUGGCUUGUGGAUCUUCGCGGAAGAUGAUAGCCAUGGACGCUGACACCAUGUACCUAAAUGCAGCCAUUGUUCCUAGAGUGAAAUAUCCGACUUCAGGAGGUUCAAUUCGGGCUUUCACUGUGGUAGAAUUUUCAAAUAGCAAAAUAAUCAAGGUAGUAGAAACUUGGUUGUCAAUCGUUGAUGAAAAAAUUUCAAUUGAAGAAGAGCAUUAUUUUUUUAGUAGUAACUACUUUUUAAAGUUUGAACCUUUUUUUUUUAAUUAGAAAUUGUUUAAGAUUAUUAAAGAUAUGAUUAUCAAUAUUUUGAAUGUGAUUUUUUACA
Long non-coding RNA from Chenopodium quinoa (quinoa), 1195 nucleotides. RefSeq lists it as uncharacterized. The record is from RefSeq and is a predicted model, not a curated record. Lineage: Eukaryota; Viridiplantae; Streptophyta; Magnoliopsida; Caryophyllales; Amaranthaceae. The transcript has 4 exons.